AAGAAGAUGAAAAAUGACGAACGUCCAAUAGAUCCAACUCCUAAUAUAAUCUUCCUUUAACCAUUUUCUGUUCUUGCAUAAAACACUUAUCUUAUUGUCAAGCCACUUGUAAACAUUAUGACCCGCUUGCUUUAUACUGUGGAAACAUAAUGCAAUUGCUUUUCCAAUGGCUUCAAAGACAACUCCAAUGCGAAAAACCUUGAUAAAUCCGUCAAAGGACAUGUGUAUGAAACCCUUGGUGUGAUGGAUCCGCUUCGGCGUUAUCGAACGACAAUACUCUAGCAAGUUGUGUGCAUGUACGUACUCAGACCACCUACGUACCAUAACGAAAGUGUCAAGGACUUCAUGACACGUUUUGUCCGUUCUAUCCUUCUCAACGCCUUCGUCCUUCUUCAGCCUCAUGAAAAUGAGAAUUGGCUUUAUAAUCUUGCCGAACCAGUUAACUUUGUUGUCCUCAUCCGUAGACGAUUUGAAGCAUUUGUACUUCUCCGUCUUCAAUCCCCUGGCCCCAAGAAUCCAGUUAAGAAAGUUGUCCAACUUAGUGUCAGGAUCAUCAACCUCGUCCUUCAUCUUCCUCAGCCUGACAAAGGUCCAGUCAGACAGACAUAACAUAAUAAGAGCAAUGCAAUCCAGAGCUAUUCCUCCUAUCAGCAAUGCAUAAGUAAGGCCAACAUCGAAUCUUCCAUAGUCUUUCUUGUCUUUGUAUUGGAAGAUGCGGAGCGCUGCUAUAAGGCAUCCAAGAGCAAUGAAUCUGAAGAUGACUCCUAUCCAAUUAUGAAGAAUCUCAGCUUUUGUGUAAAGAGCUUCGUAGAUGAAGUUGAGCUCAACCUCCAAGAUUCUUAGCGCUUCAUCUGGUUUUAGUUCGCUAAAGAAUCGCUUGCUUUCAGCUCGUUGUUGAAAGGUGAAGAUAAGAUCAACCACAAGACCUUUGAAGAUGUUGAAGUACUUAUAAGCAUACUGGAGAAUAUUAAGCUCAGUGAGGUUGUCAGGCUUAACCUUAGCACCGGCUUUUGGAUCUUUCUCAGGCUCCUCGAUCUUGAUAAUCUGUGUAGGCAUCUUCAUAACCUUCUUAGCCGCGUAUUCCUCCAUAAGCUUCGCGUAGUUUGGGCCAGGAUCAGGUCGUUGAAUCAUGGAAUCUUUAAACUUGUCAAGACUAGCUAGGUAUAACGCUAAUGUCCUCUCAACAUACUUGAUCACUCCUGUCGCAGAAACCAGCAAAAUGGGUCUCCACAGAUCAUUUGGUAACGACUGUAAAAACACGUAGACGGUGGCGAUUGCUUGAAAGGCAAGACCCAACAAGUGCCUAAGCCAUAGCUCAUUAUCUUCAAGCGCAAGGGCAGUGAUUGUAUCUGGACCACCGAGAUGCAAGAGCAAAAAAGGAACCCAAAAAGCUAAGAGUUUACUGUUAUUUUUAGGUUCCCCGGGUUCUGCAUCGUCUCCUUGACUAUCAGAGAUUUGUCCCGCUGCGAAGUUGGCUGCCCAAUCGGCAAGAAGAUAAGCGGACCAGAUGAGAGAGAGUAGUACCUUUCUGGAUGUGCGUUUCCUUUGAGGUGCAAAGAAAAUGAGAAACGAUUGGAGGCUGAGACUGAAGAUUAAGGUAGUUCGGAUACUCCAUGCGUCCCAUAUGUCUUUGAUAGGCUUAGGGAUUGCGUCCACCAUCUUGAAACAGAGUUAUUUCCUAAUUUGUUGGAACAAACAAGAAAUUAUGGUCUUUGAGACACAACACAUAUGCAUCUAAAGAGGUUUUGGACUUGUUUCUUUGUCUGUUUAAUUUUUUUUUUUUUUGGUGUUCAGUUAUUCUGUGCAGACAGCCAUUGGAAGCCUCUUGGAAGAGACCUGAGGUUAGUCAAACACUGUUCAUGUCGUCUUUCUUUUAUGUUUUUUAUUUGGCUUUACAUUUUGCAAAAACAUUUAUUUUUCAUGAUAUUUUUAAAAUUGUAUUAUUCCUGCUUUUUGUUUUCGUUCUUUAUACUAAUUUGUCAUUUCAUAAAAGGUUAAAACACUGAUUUAAACAAAACUCCCACUGGUUGGUAAAGGUGAGUAAAGUUCAAAAAAAAAAAGAUAUGAAUAGUGUGGAAAGGGAUAUAUGCUAUAUUUAUUUAUAUUUAAAAUACUUAGAGCUCUAUUUUAUAUCAAUAUGUUUGGAUCCUUGUGUAAAUUUUCUGUCUUGUUUUUGUUUCUAUAUAUCCUUAACGAAUCUCCGAUCAAAUACUCUCCAUGCGUUCCUAAAAAAUUCUUAUUCUAGAGAAAAUUUUUGUUUUAGAAAGAUACAUAUUUUAUACUACCUCCAUUCCUAAAUGUAGGAUAUUUUAAAGAAUUUCGAUGUUUCAAUAUAUAAGAUGUUUUCAUUUUUCUAGGUAAACUUUUAUUUUAUUAAAAAAUGUGCAACCAAUCAUAUUUGAUAAUCCAUUUUGUAAUCGGUUGAAUAACAUUAAUUUAUAGUUUUAAUGAUAUUUUCUAGACAAAACAAUGAUUUUUUAAAUAUACGUGUUUUUACUUAAAGAUCUUAUAUUUAGGAACAGAUGGAGUAUUUCCAAUGUAAUUUUUGUCAACUAAUAAUGAGAAAUUGUGAAGUUCAAGAAUGUUAAUUGCAUUUUAAAAAAUUUUAUUGGUUUAAUAAUAUAGAAAAUAUAAAAUUAUAAAAAACUAUGUAUUUAUAGAUACGUUUUCAUUUAUUUUAUUAAAAAUUGUGAAAAUUCUAAAAUAUUGAUUUUUUAAGAACAGAGAGAGAGUAGAUAUCAAGUACAGUAUGAGGUUCUGUAGGCCUGCUUUGUAAAUUGGAAUGAGAACAUUUGUUUCGUUCCCAUUCCCAGACAGAACAAAUUCUGCCCAUGUGAACACUAGUUACUUCUCCAAAAAAAACUAGUAAAAGUACAUUCAACCUCUAUAUUUAUAAUCUAACUAGAUUCUACUCUUUGAUUUUAAAGAGUGAAAUUAUAAUUUUUACAUAAUUUAUUUUAAUAAUUUUAAAUAAUUAGUUUAUCUUUUAAACAUAUUUGUAAACUGAUUUUUAUUUCUGUUUCUGAUAAAAUUCUUUUUAUUUAAUUUAAAAACAUGGGAUUUUAAAAUGUAAUAAACUCAAUUUAUAUUUUAAGACAAAAACUGAGUCUAUAUUUAGGUAUAUAUAUUUCAAUAAUUGUUACAAACUUAAUUAGUUAUUUAAACAAUAAUAAUUAAAAUAUCUAUAAGAUUUGGUUAUAAAAAAUAAGAAAUAUUCAAAAUUAAAAUUAUAUAUUCCCUGUUACAAUAAUAUAUAUUAUGUGUGAUGGUGUUUUCAUUAAAAUUUAUAAUUUGAAAAUAAAGACUAAACUAAUUUUAAUGAAAUGUAAACUAACUAAAAUUUGAAUAAAAUAAAUUGUAAAUCACACAUGGAAAUAAGGUUGUUUAUAUAUUAUGUUUCAAUUUUAAUUUUAAUAAGAUAGAUUCAAUAAUAUUAACAUCAUUUCUAAUCUUUUAUUAUAUUUUAUUUUAAAAGUUGGUGUAAAUGUCAAAGUUAAACGACAACCAUGUUAAUAUGAAAUUCCAUUAUUUUCAAAGGACCCUACUUGGAAGCAAUUAUUACAAUAUCAGCCAUAACUUUACAUCGAAAUAAGAUAUGCUUUUGUAGUCUAACAAGACUUUUCCCACGUCUUGUGAUGUGACCGCACAGGUGAUUAUUGUUUUGUUUGUUUUUAGUUUUUAGUUUUUGGUUCCUAGUUUUUAGUUUUUGGUUUUUAAAUUUUAGUUUUUAUUUUUUGGUUUUGCGGUAAAUUUUGGCUUUUUGAAAAUCAUGAGUGUUUUAGAUUUUGGUUUUUAGUUUUUGAUUUUUGCUUUUAAAAUUAAUAAAAUAUUUUUAUACAAAUAAAAUAUUUAUUCUGAAAAAUAAAAUAUAAAAUACACACAUCAAAACACACAUAAACUUAUUUAAUAAAAUUAUUUUAAAUAACAUUUGAGGUGUGAAAAAUAUUUAAAUAAGAACUGCAAAAAACAAUAUAAAUUAUCAACAAUAUAAUUUUUUGUAAUGACUAACUUCAAAUAAUUAAUUUUAUUUCUUUUGAUAAGUUAAAAUUUUUAUAGGAGUUAUUUUGCUUACAUGAGUUUAUUAUUAGAUAAAAUAUCAUUCAAAUAUUAUAAUAAUAUUAGUACAAUAAGCUUUGAUGAUUAGUAUAGAUGAAAUUUACUAUAAAUUAAAAAAGUGUCCAACAGUUUAUUAUUCGAUAAAAUAUUAUUCAAAUAUUGUUAUAGUUUUGGUAAAACCUGUGUUAUAAUAAAAACAGAUGUAAAAUACCUUACAUAGAUAUGCUCAGACAUUAUUAUUAGCAAUUAAAAAUGCCUUAGUAAUGGGUCUUACGUAUUAUAAUCAUAGGUAUUACCCAAAUCAUGACUUACGUAAGUUGUAUAUAUAUGUAAUAAUAGAUAAACGUAAAAGAAGUUUCAAGCAACAAAACUACAAAAAACUGAUUUUUGGUUUUUGUUUAGAAGUUGCCAGUUAUUUAAAAAACUAGUUUCCUUAUAUUUUAAAAAAACUAUUUAUCAGAAAAUUUGAUUGGGUGAAAAAUGGUUUUUGGAGAAACAAAAACCAAAAGCUAUUCCAAAAACCAGAAACAAUCGACCUGGCAAUGGCAGGAAACCUACUUGGAAGCAAUUAUUACAAUAUCAACCAUAACUUUACAUCGAAAUAAGACAUGCUUUUGUAGUCUAACAAGACUUUUCCCACAUCUUGUCAUGUGACGACACAAUUGCAGGAAACCAUGUUGGCAUUCAUAGGCUGUAAUGUGAUCCAGAACAAAUGCAGAAAUAAUGCAGGAUAUUUAAUUUGCAGAUAGAACUGCAUUUGUUACCCAUUCAUGUUUAUAAUGCAGAACUGGAAAAGGUAAAAAAAAACUAAAAACUGACCUGAAUGCAGAUUGGUUUUGUCUUUGAUUAUUUGUCCCGCAGAUUAUAGAAGAAAAGGUUCUGGCGAGAGGCAGAGGGGCAAAAUGGCCUGAUUUUUUUUUUUUAAGUUCCUUGAUUAUAAUCACUCUUCAUUAUUACACUUGAUUUUAUAGGCCUCGAACGGAUCGGGUAUCCGGGAAAUUUUAAGGUAUCCGGAUCCGGAUCCUUAUCCGGCGGAUCUAUAAUUUUACUAUCCUUAUCCGGAUCCGCGGUUCUCGGAUUCCGGACCUUCUAAAAAUUGUAAUAUCCGGCGGAUAUCCGGAUCCGAAUUUAGAUCCUUAAAAUAAAUAAAUAAAAUAAUAUUAAUAUAUAUAAAAUAUUAACAAUAAUUUAAAACAAAAAAUAUAUAAUGUUUUGAAUUAUUUCUAGGGUUUUCUGCAAAAAACCCUCAAUGUGGUUUUUUUUUUCAAAUUAAUCCGCGAACUCAAAAACCCACGGGUCAACCCUCCAAGUGCCAGUCAAACCGCAAUAUAACCCUCGGCCGUAUUUAUGUGUAUUUGACUGUGUAUAAUUUUAACAUUUUUUCAAUAAUAGGUCGUUUUGGCGCUAAUUUUUUAAUGAAAAAAAUUUGUUGAACUCGUGGUUUGAAAUUUGAACCUUAAAUACCAUGUGCAUGCUAUAUAACCAUCUCGGCCAACAAAUAUAUUUGUUUACUUAACAAACGCAAUUAUAUAGAUUUCUAAAACGAAAUGACCUUGUUUUUCUCGGACAUGGGAGCUUGCGUAAAUGCACAAUGAAGGUGGAGUUCAACAAAUUUUUUUCAUUAAAAAAUUAGCGCCAAAACGACCUAGUAUUGAAAAAAUGUUAAAAUUAUACACAGUCAAAUACACAUAAAUAUGGCCGAGGGUUAUAUUGCGGUUUGACUGGCACUUGGAGGGUUGACCCGUGGGUUUUUGAGUUCGCGGAUUAAUUUGCAAAAAAAAAUCACAUUGAGGGUUUUUUUGCAGAAAACCCUUAUUUCUACGUAUAAAAUUACAAAACUUACGUAAAAUUUACAUAUACUAUUAUAAAAAUGAAAAUAUAUUAAAUAAAAUUAGUUUUUAUAUAUAGAUAUUACUAUUUUUGAAAUAGUUAUUAAUAAAACUUACGGAUCCAGAUAUCCGGACUAAAAAAUCAUGAUAUCCGGAUCCGGUUUUAGCGGAUCCAACAUUUUACAAUCCGGAUCCGGAUUAGGCCCCUCCGGAUAUCCGGAUUUUCAGAUGGGAUCCGGAUCAAAUCUCAGAUCGAAUCCGGAUCUCGGAUAAAAUUCUCGGGCCUAUUCAUUUACUUAACAAAUUAAUUGUUUUCUCAGAAAUAAAGUUUGUUAAUUUUUUCAUUAUAAGUUAUAGUACUGGACAUAUUUUUUUUAUUACAAAUAAAAAAUGAUAAUUACCUUGUGUCUAAUUAGUUUUUAUAUUUUCAGGUUGUCUUUACAUCAAUUAAAAAGAAUUCAAAAAUUCAAGGAGUAUUUUAAUUAGCUCAUUAAAUAAAUUCUAAAACAUUUAGGAUGUUUAAAAUAACCUAUAAAUACUUUUAUCUUCUAUUUAUUUUUUAAAAUUCACAAACAGUUGCAUAAUUUAUUUUAUUAAAAAAACUAAUUAAAUUAUAAAUUAACUAUAAUUUUUAAACAUUAAUACAAAAUUUAUAUAAAACUUCAUGCACGCAUAUAUAUAAACAAAAAAAUAUUUUUUUUUAGUUUUAUGCAUUUACUUUCAUAUUUGGUAAUUCAUAUUUAACUGCAUAUAAUUAUAAAUUUUAAAUUUUAAUUAUAAUUACUUAAUAUCAAUGAAACAACACAUUUUUCUUACAUAUACAUUUAUGCAUUUUUAUAUUUUUAAAUUUAAAAUAAAGGUUUUGUUGAUACAAUAACAUAUAUAUAUAUAUAAUUUGACAAUGUCAGUUCUAUAGGUUAACCAAACGGUAAUAAAAAACCAAAAAUUGAAUAAAUAUAAAAAAAUAAGAACAAAACAAGAAUAUUCUUUAUAAUUUUUGUAAUUUUGAUGAUUUUUCAUAUAAUUUUAAAAUCACUAUAUUUAUUAAAAUGAUGAUAUUUAUUGUUAUUUUGUCAACUUGAUAUUUAUUGCUUAUAUAUAAUAAGUUUAAUUUUAUUUAAAAUUUUAAUUUUUAUGAAAAAAUAAAAUAUUUAAUUAAAUAUAAUAAUUUAUUAAAUUAGAUUGAUCUGCAUUUGUUCUGUUUGAUAUGUAUGAUCUACAUUUCUUCUGUUUGAUCUGCAUUUUUGUCUGUAUUUAUUCAUCUGCGUUAUCUAUUCGAAGUCAUAGUCCAUUGCUACGCAUUUAAUAUUACCCGGACAGUUGGACUAUUAUUGCUCUUGAGCCGGAUACUUGGAUGUAUACUUUAAAAAGUUGCAUAAAUAAAUAGUUAUUCCUGGGUACACCUCCUAGGUUAAAAUUUUUAGGUUCACCGACUAAUAGAAUUUCAUUAUUUCAAAUUCGAUAUUUAAAAAAAAAAAAAAAAUAUUGUCAAAUUAUAUUAUGUUUUUAAAAUAAAAAGGUAAAAAAAAAAUAGUAGUUACAGAAAAAAAAAUUAAAAAAAAUCUUUUUAACGUCGUCAGCAAAACACUAAACCCUAAAUCUUAAUCCCAAAACCCUAAAUCCUAAAUUCUUAACCCUUGGGUAAACCCUAAACCCUUAAAUAAACUCUAAACCCUUGGGUAAACUCUAAACCCUUGGGUAAAUCAUAAACUCUCGGAUAAAUCCUAAACUCUAAAUAAAAACACUAAACCCUAAGACUUUAAACCCUAAAUCCUAAAUCCUAAACCCCAAACCCUUGAGUGUUUUAAUGUUUAGUGAUUUUGAUUUAGAGUUUAAGAUUUAUCCUAGAGUUUAGGGUUUACCCAAGGGUUUAAGGUUUAGGAUUUAGGGUUUAGGGAUUAGGAUUUAGGCUUCGAAUGGUGACUGCGGUUUGAACGGUGCGGAACAAGCGGUUCAACUGCGGUGCGGUUUUAACAGUUAUAAAAACGUAUCGAUAUAUGGUAUACGUUAAUAUUUUUGUUACUGUUAACUGCGGUGCGGGUCGGAACGGUUAUAAACAUUCGAAGCCUUAGAGUUUAAUGUUUUGCUGACGACGUUAAAAAUAUUUUUUUUGUAAAUACUACUAUUUUUUAUUUAUUUUUUUACAAUUUAAUUUUAAAAGAUAAUAUAAUUUGAUAAUAUUUUAUUUUUUUUAAUAUAUCGAAUAUGAAUUAACGUGGGGGUGGGGUAAAGGGAGAAAUUCCACUCAAGCUACCCUGCGUGGGCUCAUGAGUGUAUCCAUUUAUCUGUUAGAUAAUAGGUUGUGUUAUCUUUGGUUUACGAGAUUAGCUGGCUCUGAGACUAUCCAAAGUUAGGCAUGGGCAAAAUAAUCGGAACCGAAGAACCGAAUCAGAACCAAACUGAAAUAUCCGAAACUGGAAUCAGACCAAUACCUUCAAAUACCCAAACGGUUUCUAUAUUUUUAUAUCCAAAAUAACCGAAUCGAACCAAGAACCGAACGGGUACCCGAAUAUAUAAAAAUAUUAAUUAUAUACAUAUAACAUCAUUAAAUAAAUAUUUUUAAUUUAAAAUUCUAUUAAAAGUAUCUGAAAAUAGUUGAGGAUAACUAAAUUAUUAUAAAGUAUCCAAACUACUCGAAAGUAUCUGAAACUCUCCGGAUAGUUUUAUCCGAAAUAUCCAAAGUAAUCCGAAAUAUCUAAAUUUUUUAUCUAAAUCAUCCUAAUUAUUUGAUAUUUUACUCUAAAUAACCGAUAUUUUAUCCAAAUUAUCUGAACUAUCCGAACUAUCCGAACCGGAUCCAAAAGAGAAUCGAACUCCGAAUAUUUUCCGGUUCCUACAUUUACUAUCCAAACCGAACCGAACCCGAAACUAUCUGAACCGAACCGAACCAAAAAUAGGUCAAGUACUAAAUGGAUCCUCUAGCCCCUAUCUGAACUACCCGAAACCCGAAAUACCCGAACCGAACCGAACCGAUAUCCGAAAUGUCCAGGCCUAUCCACAGUGAUAAAACAAUUCAAUAUCCUCAUUUUUUCUUUUUAACGUUUCACAUUAUUUUUCACCUAAUUAUUCAAUAUUCAAUUCAUUUUUAACCUCUAAUAUAAUUUUAUUUAAUAAAAUUCAACACACUACUCCACUAUUUCUAAUUCAUCUUCUUUUUAUAUUUUAUAAUUCAAUAAUUAUAUAUUAUAUAAUAAGUUUGAUUAUAAUUAACUUAAAUAAUUUAAAUAAGAUAUUUUUUAUUAUUAACUUUUAAAAAAAUAUAUAAAAAGUAAUAUUAUUAAAACAAAUAAAAUUAGAAGAUUUAAAUACAUACAAUAUAACACACAGAACAACAAAUUAAAAACACACAACUUAUUUGGUACAAGAAACUCAAAUAAAAACACACAACUUAUUUUUUACAAUAAAUACAAUCAUAAACAACAAAUUAAAAUUUUGUAUUCAGUUAUUUAGACAGCCAAUAGAAGCCUCUGGGAGGAGACCUGAGGUUAGUCAAACAUUGUUCAUGUCGUCUUUCUUUUAUGUUUUUUAUUUGGCUUUACAUUUUGCAAAAACAUUUAUUUUUCAUGAUAUUUUUAAAAUUGUAUUAUUCCCGCUUCUUGUUUUCGUUCUUUUGGUUUUGAGAUUUUUUUUCUCAGAUUGACUUGAGAAAUUUGGGGUCUUGUGGAAUAAUGUUUUUGGGAAGCUGUUGAUGCUCUUUUUUUUUCACCAGAGGCUCACUCAUGACUCGGGUAAGAGACGACUCAGGGACUCACUCAAGUCUAGCUGUUCUGUUUUCUUUCAACGAAUUAAUAAUAAACUAUUUUUCAUUUUUCGUACAUUUAUUGCAAAUUGUUUAUUAAAUAAAAAAUAUUCUUUAAAGGAAAGUUCGUUAUUUUUUUGUGGGAAACGACUUUAGCUUAUAGGUCUUUCUUUAUGCUGAAUAAUAAUAAAAUCAAAAGUGACAGCUGUUGGGUACAAUAAUUAAAAGAAAAUAUUACAUUCAAGGUCACUUUCAUCUUUUAUAUUACACCACUAGACACUUUGCUCUCUUAAGACACUUUUCCUAAUUUCAAUGCACGUUUGUUUAGGUUUACUAGUUGAAACAUAAGUAAAUUGUAAUUAGUAGGUCCCAUUCUUUUUUUCUGUUUCUUCUUCCUCAAAAUUCUUUUCCAUAUCUCACUAGUUUGCUUUUACAAUUUUUUUGAUGUUUUGAUUUUUUUUUUCACUAACAGAAUUACAAAAUUUAAAAUAAAGCUUCACAGAUCUUGGUAUUCAAAUCCUAGCCAAUUUAACUAUAUUUUCUCUCAUAUCUUAUUAGAGAGUCAUUAGAUCUAGAAGAUGUAACUAAUGAGAGAGAGAAAGUUUGAUUUGCAGAAAAAACAAAAGAUGGAAGAAGAUGGGAUGCUGUUACCGUGAUAACAGUUUCUACGAUGCAGGGCCGGUCCUGGCUAAGCCCAUUGAAACAUUUGUCUUAGGUCCCUAUUUUUUAGAGGUCCCAUUUCUAGAAAAUCCAAUAUACAUUAUAAAACAAAAAAAAAAUUUAAUGAGAUCACACGAACUUGGCUAUAUCACGUUGGUUUAAGUUUUAACAACCAAAGUCCAUUUGAAUAGGCCAAAGAACACAAUAAUGUAAGUAGCCCAAUAAAUCAAAAAGAGUAAAAAUCCACAAAGCUAAAAAAAAUUUGGACUAACGUAUUUCAUUUUUUUUUUGUCUUCGACUCUUGCACUUGCUUUCCCUGUCAUAACUUGGAAGCCAAAAACACAAUUUCAAAACAGAAUUUCAUUACUCCUUGUCAAUUGCUUGUGUUUAUAUCAGAAGAAAAAUAUCGGCAUAAACUAUCAGUUCAUUUGUUCAUUUUUUUGUAUAGAAACUUAUGUUUUAUCAUUGGUUUAGUAUUUUAUAUAUGAACUAUGUUUAUAAGUUUGUUUUUGGGAUAUUUUUGUGAUGUAAGAUAUAGGCCCCUAUUUUUUAUUUCGUUUCAAGCCCCCGAAUUUUCAGGACCGGCCCUGCUACGAUGUCACCGAGAAUCGUGACAGAUUUACUCUGGCUGUGACUCUUAUUUGAACCACCGGAAACAGCCCAUCUUUAGACUCCGACUCAUCUUUCCCGGUGUCGUGACCUCACCUCUUGUCGUCUAUGUUCCGUCACGAGCUCGCGUCUCUGCUCCGUAGAAAGCAUCAAUGGCCAAUUUUUGCUUUUUUGCACAUUUGGUCCUUUAUUUUGUGUAAUUCAUUUCUGAUCUCAAACUCUUUAAUAGUACAAAUAACUCUUCGUAUUAACCCCUUUCUUCUUUAUUGUUAAUUCCAAAACCCUUCAUAAAAAUUGCAUGAAUGGUCUCUUGUCUUUUAAUUACUUUCAUUUCCGCCCCCCCCCCAAAAUUCUAAAAUAAACAAUUUUCUCUUUGAUUUCAUCUCAAACUUAUCAAUUGCAUACUCUAACCUAUGUUAAUGCAAUUUAACAUGCAUAUAUACACUAAAGACUUUUAAAGCCAAAUGUACAACUCAUGUCAGUCUAUCGUACUUUUGAACUUUGGGUUUCACUGAUCAAUUGUACAUGUAGAUGUUUGUGGGACUAUGUACAUGAUGAUUAUUGUACAUCUGGAUAAGCAAAUGUAUGUGUACACGUCUCAUUUGCCUAAACAUCAACAUAAUAAUUCAUUUGAAACUCCUUAAGAUAUUUGUUUCAUGUUGGUGCAGGGAUAAGGUAAAGAAAGCACUCUGGCCAAAGUUUUAUUUUGGAUUAAAUUAGAUUCCUCUUCACAAUCAACUUGCGAAUCAACUUCAUAAUGUUUUGUAUGCUUUGUAUAAUGAUACAAAGUUUCAUAUUCUUCUACCACUUUAUCUUUGAAUGGACUUUACCUAAUUUAUCAAUAUUGUACACAUUUACGGUAUCAUAUUUGUUGUACACAUGUACUCCACAAAAUAUUAAUGUACACACACUAGGGAUGUGCACUACUUUACAAUAUGUAUCCACAUUAGAUUUACAUUGUUUUGUGGACAUAUAAGAUUAUGAUAGAGAUAUACAGAAUGUCAUUAAGAUAAAAUAUAAUAUAUAUAUUGGACAUAUGACCAUUGGCAAAACAACAAGAGACAUUUUCCAUGAUGCUUUGUCCAUGCUUAUAUUUUUGAGAGGUCGUGUAAUCUUUAGCUCAUCAUUUGAUAGUGUAUAUGUCUUUUUUUUUUUUUUUUUGACAAAAGAUUUAAAAUGACUAUUUAUAUUUGUCUAAAAUUGAUAGUGUAUAUGUCAAACAUGCAAACACCUUUAGAUUUGUUCAAAAAAAAAAAAAAAAAUUACUAAUCAUGUGUUGGCGAGGUUCUUUGAUUGUGAUAUGUAAAUAGCAUGGAAACCUUCCAAAUGUAGCUUUCAGUGUAUAACACAGUGUAUCUGUGAAAUAUUUCUCCGCAAACCUUGUUCCAUCAAUCUGUAACGUGGGAGCAUGCUUCCAUGUAAAAAGAUUAUUGUUUUGUGUAUAAUUUGAUUUCGUACACUCCGCAUCGUGUACACAUGUACAUUGAAGGUCAAUAAAAAUAUGUGGCUAUAAUGUCACAUAUAGGUGGAUUAGGGUUGAUUACUCAAAAUGUCAAAAUAUAUAAUAAAAUAGAUCAAAUCAAACUAAUGAUAGGUGUACACAUUGUUAUGUGUGUUAUUUAUGUCUAAUGGUUGUAAUGUCAAACGACGACAGUGUAAAAAACAUACAAACGCCAGCGAGGACUGGAGCUUCGAAACAAGGCAUGGCGGUGGUGGAUCGAGCUAGGCACAGCUCAGGUAUUGUUGGUUGGAGAAGAGUACACGUUAUGAUAAAAUGGAGGACGUCGAGAAUGGAUCUUCACCGACAAAAGGAUGAAACACAAUAAAUCAAAGCUAACCAAACAGAAAAACAAAAAAAGUCAAAGAAAAAUAGUUUACUGUUUUUAUUCUGGGUUUCAAAACUUUAAAAGAUUUAAAAAAAAAAAAAAAAAACUUUAAAAGAUUUAAAACAAAAGUAAAGAGAAAAGAAACAAGAAACUUUUGUGGGCCAAGGGUAACAAAUCAAAAGCUAAAUAAAUACACAAGGGUGACGAAAAAAAGGUUUAUGGUUUCACUUUUUCAGGGUCAGCAGAGUCUUUAACCACCUAAAACUAUCCAAGUAGCACAAAGUGAUCUUCUAUGUAAUUAAAAGUCAAAAACUGAACUGCAGUGUAAAUCACUCUAAUUAAAAGUUCAUGUUAUCAGAAGUUGAGCUAGCGUCGUUUAUGGAUAACUAGACCCUGGUCCGCGCGCCAGCGCAGAUAUGAAUUUUCGGUUUUUAAUUAUUUAUUUUAUAAAAUAUGUAUUUGUAAUAUUUGUUUAUAUUAUAUUUAUUAAGUAAAUAUAUUUUUUUUUGCAUCUUAACCUAUUUAUUUAUUUACGAAUGUGUGAUAUCAUAUAAAAAAUAUAAAAAAUGAGUAUAGAGUUAAUUAGAUAAUUUUAAAAACAGAAAUUUUUCUUUCGUGUGCGAUAUCAUAUAAAUAAUGAUCCGCCCAGUUAACAAAAAUCAUGAUUAUUUUAUGUGUAAUUUUUUUUAUUUUGACCAUUUCCUUAAAACUAUAUUAAAUUUUACAUAUUUUAAUUAGAAUAUUUUUAAUAUCUUUACCUUUUUAUUUGAAAUGCAACUCAAUAUUUUUUUAACAAUUAUAACAAAAUAUUUAAAAAAUAUUUUUAGAAUUUGUUUGAAAAAUAUGAAAAUUACAUUUUAAAUUAAAAUUAUCCUAAAAUAUGAUAAGUUUUGAUGUAAACGAAAACUCAAAUUAUGUCAAAAAUAAUGAUAUUCAAUGAUAAUAACAAUUUUAAUUGAUUAUUUUUUAAAAAAUACAUUUACAAAAAUAUUGUUCGAAAGAAAAUUCAUUUAUCUUUCAAAUAUAAUAUGAAAAUAUUAUAAUUAAAUAAUAAAAAAUAUAAAUAAAAACCAUAAAUUUAGCAAAUGACAACUGACUUAUAUUAUGUUAAAACUUUCUUUCUAACAAUUUAUCAAAUGACAAAUGAGUUAUGAACAAAUAAUACCAUAUAAUUUUUAAAAACAUAGCCACUCUUAAAUAUUUUUUGAAUAAAUAAUUAUUUUAAAAUUUAAUCAACUGAAAAUAAUAUCCGUACAAUUGUGUGAGUCAAAUUCUAGUUUUAUUGAUGCAUGUUAUAUAUUAGUGCUGCAUGUUUUAGGUAACAUUUUAAUGAUGCACGUUUUUAAAAAUCUCCAUUAUUAAAAUUAUGCACGUAAGGAUAACUCAUGAGUUUUUUUGGUUGAUUAAAUGACAUUAUGUCCAAAUUUAUUUAAGGAUAUUUCAUUAAGGUAACUGAAAAAGACAAACAAUAAAAUAGGAAGUUUAAAUUCAUUUAAGCAUAUUUCAUUAAUGUAACUGAAAAGACAAGUAAUAAAUUAGACAGUUUUAUUCGUUUUAGGAUAUUUCAUAAAUGCAACUGAAAAAGACAAGCAAAAAAAAAGGGAGUUUAAUUAAUGAAGUAAGAACAUUUUCAAAUGGGUACUUCUCUUUUAAUAAUAUAGAUACGUUAAUCAACUAAAAUCCAAUUUGAAUCUUUAAUACCAUGAUUAAAAAUCCCAAGAGCAUGAUUAUAUUUUGUUUAUAUAUUGUAUUCCCACCAUUUUUUUUAAUAUAAGUCAUUUUAGAAUUGUGCACAUAGAUUAAGAAAAUCAUUAUUUUUUAUAUUUUCUAAACAAAAACAUCAUUAAUUAUUUAUUUAACCACAAAUCAACUAAUAAUAAAAUAGAAGGUAUAUUAUUAUUGAUCAUAUAAUAUUAAGUGUUAAUAAAUUUUACAUAGAAAACCGAGAACGUCAUAUAAUUUGGAACAUAAAUAUUUUUUCAAAAACGACUUAUAUUAAAAAACGGAGGGAGUAAUAGAAUUUUCGGUACAUUACUUUAAGACUGCCCACUCGUUAGUCUUAUCUUUACUCAAGUCUGUAUUUUUAAUUGUUUGUUCUCUGUUUAAAUCAUUUUAACGGUUAAAUAAUAAUAAUAAUAAUAAUAAUUUUAACAUUUAUGUCAUCACUUUCCUAGAUUCUUUUAAGCAUUUCGAUCAUUAGGAGAAUUGUCUUAUGGAUCUCACGAACUAACCAAGCUCACAAAAAUGAAUGUAUCAGCCAAGCAGAAGAUAAACAAGGAUAUGAGCUACAAUGCAGAUGAUAUAAUUGCUGGAAAUGAUACAAUAGAUGCAAACAGUUCAAGAUAUUAUUCUUUGAAACGACAAAAGAACACAACAAAAGCAAACGGAGGAAACUAAUGUUGCUGCCGGUUAUUAGAGGAUCACUUGCCUAUAACCAGUUUAGCUCUAGCAUCUCCUUGGUUGAUCUGGAACUGAUCUCCUAGUCCAAAAUGAGCCAUCAACAGCCACACAAAGCUGAUGAGUUCUCCACCUUUGCUUAGCUGAGCUGCGUGUUCUAUAGCGCCACACUUAGUUGCUGCAUAACAAAGCAACUCAGCCCACACUUUGUUCACUACUUCCCACAUGUAUGCCUCUCCCUUGGCCUUCUUCAAGCCAUCCUUUAACUCUGGAAGCUCUUUUAAACCCUUAAGCUCUUUGGCCAACAUGCUCCCAUCAAACAGCACCGACUUGCUUUUAUCACCUUUCACGUCAAUAGGUUCAGCUUUUGUCGGAGCCGUCACAGAUAAAAUCGCCUCACUAGCCAUCUUUAUGUCUCUGGAUUCGAUAUGCCUUCUCUUGAAAAACCUCUUAGCCUCCUCGCAUGUAUCCCUGAAUCUUAUCUUUCCAAUACCCACAACAGCUGACAUCAAAGUAGGUUGCAUCAUCAUGAGGUACAUCAUGUAGUCUGAAAGGAUUUUACUAAACUCACGAUCACUAUGACUCUCUUCAGUGGCUGGUUCUGAUUGGUAUAAGAGCUCAGUUGCAAUAUGCCACACAAGAAGACUCUGAUCAUAGUCCAUUUCCAUCACAUAGCGUAGAAGCCUCUCACGCUUUUUCUGUGUCUCUCUGUCUUCACCUUGUAUGUCACGCUGACUCCAGUCACCUCUAGCUGAAGAGACCCUCAUGGUGCUUUCCGAGUCGUCAGCGAAACGGGAUUUAUUCAAAACCUCUCCAAAUAUAUGCUCCCACAGAUCAAGAGUGACACGAUCACUUGAUGUGUAGAUAAUCUCCUCAAACUGAGCUUGUAUCCCAAAGAAGUCCAUGAACUUUCUUGUCAGAUAACCAAGAAGAUGAAAAAUGACGAACGUCCAAUAGAUCCAACUCCUAAUAUAAUCUUCCUUUAACCAUUUUAUGUUCUUGCAUAAAACACUUAUUUUUCAAACCACUUGUAAACAUUAUGACCCACUUGCUUUAUACUGUGGAAACAGAAUGCAAUUGCUUUUCCAAUGGCUUCAAAGACAACUCCAAUGCAAAAAACCUCGAUAAACCAGUCAAAGGACAUGUGUAUGAA
RNAcentral lists this long non-coding RNA (16269 nucleotides) under Brassica napus (rape). RNAcentral's name for it is "long non-coding RNA (BNAP_LNC011736)". Lineage: Eukaryota; Viridiplantae; Streptophyta; Magnoliopsida; Brassicales; Brassicaceae. The record is from RNAcentral.